Molecule: transfer RNA, 59 nt
Filed under: Cavia aperea (Brazilian guinea pig)
Lineage: Eukaryota; Metazoa; Chordata; Mammalia; Rodentia; Caviidae
Description: tRNA-Ser
Source: RNAcentral
ACCCUUCUUAUUUACCCAAGAGGAAGACAAUUGGAACUGCUAAUUCCUCGCUCCAUACU